Molecule: ribosomal RNA, 883 nt
Filed under: uncultured bacterium
Lineage: Bacteria
Description: bacterial SSU rRNA
Rfam family: Bacterial small subunit ribosomal RNA
Source: RNAcentral
AGGAAUUCGCUGGCGGCGUGCUUACACAUGCAAGUCGAACGAGAACGGGUUAUAGUUUACUAUAACUGUCAGCUAAGUGGCGCACGGGUGAGUAAUAUAUAGGUAAUGUGCCCUAGAGAGGGGGAUAACAUUUGGAAACGAAUGCUAACACCCCAUAUGCCUUUAAGACAAAAGUCUGCAAGGGAAAUAUUUAUAGCUCUAGGAUCGGCCUGUACGGUAUCAGUUAGUUGGUGAGGUAAUGGCUCACCAAGACAAUGACGCCUAACUGGUUUGAGAGGAUGAUCAGUCACACUGGAACUGAGACACGGUCCAGACUCCCACGGGAGGCAGCAGUGGGGAAUAUUGCACAAUGGGGGAAACCCUGAUGCAGCAACGCCGCGUGGAGGAUGACACAUUUCGGUGCGUAAACUCCUUUUAUAUAGGAAGAUAAUGACGGUACUAUAUGAAUAAGCGCCGGCUAACUCCGUGCCAGCAGCCGCGGUAAUACGGAGGGCGCAAGCGUUACUCGGAAUCACUGGGCGUAAAGAGCGUGUAGGCGGAUAAAUAAGUUUGAAGUGAAAUCCUAUGGCUCAACCAUAGAACUGCUUUGAAAACUGUUUAUCUAGAAUAUGGGAGAGGUAGAUGGAAUUUCUGGUGUAGGGGUAAAAUCCGUAGAGAUCAGAAGGGAUACCGAUUGCGAAGGCGAUCUACUGGAACAUUAUUGACGCUGAGACGCGAAAGCGUGGGGAGCAAACAGGAUUAGAUACCCUGGUAGUCCACGCCCUAAACGAUGUACACUAGUUGUUGUGAGGCUAGACCUUGCAGUAAUGCAGUUAACACAUUAAGUGUACCGCCUGGGGAGUACGGUCGCAAGAUUAAAACUCAAAUGAAUUGACGGAAGGGC